Molecule: ribosomal RNA, 1034 nt
Filed under: uncultured bacterium
Lineage: Bacteria
Description: bacterial SSU rRNA
Rfam family: Bacterial small subunit ribosomal RNA
Source: RNAcentral
CUCCUACGGGAGGCAGCAGUGAGGAAUAUUGGUCAAUGGACGCAAGUCUGAACCAGCCAUGCCGCGUGCAGGAAGACGGCUCUAUGAGUUGUAAACUGCUUUUGUACGAGGGUAAACUCACCUACGUGUAGGUGACUGAAAGUAUCGUACGAAUAAGGAUCGGCUAACUCCGUGCCAGCAGCCGCGGUAAUACGGAGGAUUCAAGCGUUAUCCGGAUUUAUUGGGUUUAAAGGGUGCGUAGGCGGUUUGAUAAGUUAGAGGUGAAAUCCCGGGGCUUAACUCCGGAACUGCCUCUAAUACUGUUAGACUAGAGAGUAGUUGCGGUAGGCGGAAUGUAUGGUGUAGCGGUGAAAUGCUUAGAGAUCAUACAGAACACCGAUUGCGAAGGCAGCUUACCAAACUAUAUCUGACGUUGAGGCACGAAAGCGUGGGGAGCAAACAGGAUUAGAUACCCUGGUAGUCCACGCAGUAAACGAUGAUAACUCGUUGUCGGCGAUACACAGUCGGUGACUAAGCGAAAGCGAUAAGUUAUCCACCUGGGGAGUACGUUCGCAAGAAUGAAACUCAAAGGAAUUGACGGGGGCCCGCACAAGCGGAGGAACAUGUGGUUUAAUUCGAUGAUACGCGAGGAACCUUACCCGGGCUUGAAAGUUACUGACGAUUCUGGAAACAGGAUUUCCCUUUGGGGCAGGAAACUAGGAUGCUGCAUGGUUGUCGUCAGCUCGUGCCGUGAGGUGUCGGGUUAAGUCCCAUAACGAGCGCAACCCCUACCGUUAGUUGCCAUCAGGUCAAGCUGGGCACUCUGGCGGGACUGCCGGUGUAAGCCGAGAGGAAGGUGGGGAUGACGUCAAAUCAGCACGGCCCUUACGUCCGGGGCUACACACGUGUUACAAUGGUAGGUACAGAGGGUCGCUACUCCGUGAGGAGAUGCCAAUCUCGAAAGCCUAUCUCAGUUCGGAUAUGGAGGCUGAAACCCGCCUCCAUGAAGUUGGAUUCGCUAGUAAUCGCGCAUCAGCCAUGGCGCGGUGAAUACG